RNAcentral lists this ribosomal RNA (492 nucleotides) under uncultured bacterium. Its description in RNAcentral is "partial 16S ribosomal RNA". It matches the Rfam family "Bacterial small subunit ribosomal RNA", at positions 29 to 507 of the family's 1533-position model. The record is from RNAcentral.
AGUGAACGCUGGCGGUAGGCCUAACACAUGCAAGUCGAACGGCAGCACAGUAAGAGCUUGCUCUUACGGGUGGCGAGUGGCGGACGGGUGAGGAAUACAUCGGAAUCUACUUUUUCGUGGGGGAUAACGUAGGGAAACUUACGCUAAUACCGCAUACGACCUACGGGUGAAAGCAGGGGAUCUUCGGACCUUGCGCGAUUGAAUGAGCCGAUGUCGGAUUAGCUAGUUGGCGGGGUAAAGGCCCACCAAGGCGACGAUCCGUAGCUGGUCUGAGAGGAGGAUCGGCGACACUGGAACUGAGACACGGUCCAGACUCCUACGGGAGGCAGCAGUGGGGAAUAUUGGGCAAUGGGCGCAAGCCUGAUCCAGCCAUACCGCGUGGGUGAAGAAGGCCUUCGGGUUGUAAAGCCCUUUUGUUGGGAAAGAAAAGCAGCAGGUUAAUACCCCGCUGUUCUGACGGUACCCAAAGAAUAAGCACCGGCUAACUUCGUG